RNAcentral lists this long non-coding RNA (1510 nucleotides) under Androctonus crassicauda. Lineage: Eukaryota; Metazoa; Arthropoda; Arachnida; Scorpiones; Buthidae. The record is from RNAcentral.
UUGUUUGGUCUGCUCAUGAGUGCUGUUGGCACAAAGAAUUUAUAAGUUUAAUACCAUGAAGAGCAGUUUAAACUUCCUUACUAUAAUAGAAUCAUCAUAUUUCAAAAUGGGUCUAAGGCUUUUCAGAUUACUAAAAUUGUUGGAUAGUCAUAUAUUUCAUUAUAUAAUGUCAGCCAUCACUCACAUUUAAAGUUUUUCUCUUCUCUCUCAGAUGGUGAUCAUCAGAUCAGAUCACUGGAAAUGAUUCAAAAGACUGAGAUGGCAGGAGAGAGGAGUUAUUGAUGUAACUGUCUAAUGAGGAGUUAUCCAAGAGUUAUUCUUGGAAAUGGUUAUAUUUUUGCAUUGAUCAAAUAAAGUAGUUUUAAAUGCAAGGCAUUUUUUUAAUGCAAAUGUUACUUAAUCUUCAGAAGCAUAAUAGUAGUACUCAGGAUAGUCAGAUUCAAUGAUAGUAGCUUCUAUACCUUCUUCUCCUGUCAGAAUAAAAGAUAUCACAUAAAUUCCUUCUAACUAUUGGUGCAUAUUUUAUGAUUGUCAGAAAUAAUUACUAAUCCAAUUCAAAGCACCAUCAACAUAUCAGUUUUUGAUCCAUAGGAUUAAGAUUUUGAUGAAUAGAUGAAGCAUUUUGAUAUAUAACAGAUGUCUAUGUAAACAAUAUAGAGAACAAAAAUCAAAGCCAAAUAUUUCAUGUCUAAGCUUUCUAUUGAUGUAUUUAGCUAAUGCAACCAGUUAUGCUCAUCAAAAGAUCCAACUGAGCUUUCCUUCAGUUAAAUGAUUUCAUUUUGUGUCUAUUCAACAGCAAUUGAAAGAAAACUAUAAUCAUUAUAUGAUCUGCACUAAGGCAUUUUUAAUAAAAGAGAUAGAAACAUACUUGGUAGUUUAACUCUCUGAAGAAUGAAAGAUGAAAUGAGGCAAGCAUGAGAGAAGAGAAAAAGGUUAUGUUAGAAGUAUGGCAGGUCACUAGCAGAAGAGAGAUGGUAUUUUUCAGUUGUCAUUUACAGCACAUAGAGUACAUGCUAGAUAAAUAUUGCCCAUCCACAGGUGAAGCUAAGGUAAUGCUGGAACAUUUCCAUAUUUCUGAACUUAAGGAGAUAAAAGUCAACAGUUUUAUAGGCACAGAGCAUAAAGUGCUCCAAACACAUCCUACAGAAACUCAACAUAGAAAACUAAUUAACUAACUAAUGAGAAAUUUUAUAAAGAAACCAUAGAUAUUUUCAUUAUAAUUAUCAUCAAAAUAGAAUAAGUAGUUUUUAAGAAUCAUUGGCCAUGUUCUAAUAGUUUCUGAUAAUCAUUUUGUUAUAUAUUUGAUUCAACUUCUGGCGAGGUCAAUGUUCAUCUUCAUCUAUAUAUCAACCAAAUGAAAUGUUUCCAUUGCAGCAAACCAUACUGUAUUAAGAAUUGCACUUAAAUUAAUCAGAAUUGUUCUAGGUGAUCAAUAAGGAUGUCUGGUUUAAUAAUAAUAGAUUAUUAUUUAUAUUGUAUUUACAGUAUUUGCUAUAAAAAAUAAACAAAC